Molecule: ribosomal RNA, 462 nt
Filed under: Triticum aestivum (bread wheat)
Lineage: Eukaryota; Viridiplantae; Streptophyta; Magnoliopsida; Poales; Poaceae
Description: partial small subunit ribosomal RNA
Source: RNAcentral
AUGCCCCUUAUCGACCUUUUAGUGCACUAUGAACAAACGGGUUUCAUCCGGGGUCGUGGUAUUGCGGAAAACUUUCUCCAUGCAACAGAUAUUGUUCGGACUUGCUUUAAGCGGCUACUUCCGGCAAUUGUCAUCAAGCUAGACUUCCAUAAAGCCUUCGACUCGGUGUCUUUAACGGCCCUAGCCUCUAUCUUAUGUGCCAAGGGUUUCCCCCCGGCUUGGCGCCGGUGGGAGGACCACCUAAAUUCUUCUGCCAGCUCCGCUGUUCUUCUAAGUGGGAAGCCAGGCCCUUGGUUUCAGUGCCGUCAGGGCCUGCGACAAGGUGACCCCUACUCCUCCUAUAUUUUCAUUCUUGUCGCCGAUGUCCUCAAGCGCCUUGUCAUCCAGGCUUCCACCAAUGGCAUCUUAUCCCACCCAAUCGCGUCCGACAUUCCUUGCACCGUUCUACAAUAUGCGAAAUGA